UACGUAGGUGGCGAGCGUUGUCCGGAAUUACUGGGUGUAAAGGGAGCGUAGGCGGGAGAGCAAGUCGACUGUGAAAUCUAUAGGCUUAACCCAUAGCUGCGAUCGAAACUGUUCAUCUUGAGUGAAGUAGAGGCAGGCGGAAUUCCUAGUGUAGCGGUGAAAUGCGUAAAUAUUAGGAGGAACACCAGUGGCGAAGGCGGCCUGCUGGGCUUUAACUGACGCUGAGGCUCGAAAGCGUGGGUAGCAAACAGG
Molecule: ribosomal RNA, 252 nt
Filed under: uncultured bacterium
Lineage: Bacteria
Description: partial 16S ribosomal RNA
Rfam family: Bacterial small subunit ribosomal RNA
Source: RNAcentral